GUAAAAGGUUCAUUUGUUAACAUGUUUGGUUAAAACAUACAGAAUUUGUCUUAUCACUGUUAUCAGAAUCUGAUAUACAAUGAAAGAAUGCAGACUUUCGGUUUCAACACUUGGAGGUAUUUACUCUCAGAUGACUAAAAAAAUUGCAAAGUAAACCUGCUCCCUAACGACCCUCCAGUUUAACGGGGGUUCAACUUCUCGCCCGUUUGGAAUUGAGUUCAUUAUUAUUUUAUUUGUGUUUUGUGAAUGUGUCUAUCGAAUUUUGAUACGAAUCAUUAUAAUAAUAUCACAUCUAUUAAUCUUAUAGAUAUUGUAUUAUUUAUAUUACGUUUAUAAUAUUUACAGUGUUUAACUCAGUUUCUAAGUGAUUGUGGAAGGAAUGUUGCACAUUUCUAAACAUAACCCCAACAGUACCACGUAAGAAUUGAUAUGUUUGAAUUCUCUGUAUUCGUUUAGUUGGUCAACCAAUUCUUUUAAUUUUCCAGUUCUUACGUAAUGCUGUUGAGGUUGCGCUACCUUCCACAAUUAAAUGGAAAUUGGGUUGAACAUUUGAAAAAUUAUAAUUCUAAUAUAAAUAUACAGUGUUAUAAAUUGAGUAAUAUAAUAAUUCACUGUUAAUCAUAGCAGGAGCAAGAUUCCAUAGAUUUAUUCACACAUUAUUCACAAAUAAAACCACUAAUGUCUUUUCGCAACCGUUAUGAAUUACCUUCUAAAAGCCUCAAGUCCCAGAGCGGUUCAUCAGUCUUUUCUAGUUAACCGAUUGGGUAGCAAGCAGGUACUCUGACCUCUAUGGCCGAGAGAUGAGGCACGAUUAAAUGGUAGUUCUUUUAUCCGUGUAGUAGAAUAAACAAACCAUUCAAAUGGUUUAUUUGUUCUACUACUAGUUCAGAUUUUAAAGAAUUUUACCAUUUUUUCAAAUGCUAUUCACCUUCGUAAACCUUCAUCGUACCGAGCUGCAUAGUGUAGGACGGUUUCACCAUUCGCUGAUGCAACAUUGACGUUUGUUGGCAUCAAUAUUGUUUUCUUUCGCUCUUCGUGUUGGUGUGCAAUAGCCACCAUUAACGGAGUUUCACCGAAAUGGUUGUACUCCGUCAAUUCGCAAUUGUGGUGUUUUAAUAUCUUUAUUAGCAGCAUGCCGUUCUCUGCUGCUGCUAUGUGCGAUUGUUUUUCCGUUUUGUAUUAUCUCUGGGUGUGCCCCGAAAGAUAAUAGCAAAUCUGUCAGAUCGCGGCUGUUUUUUCGUACUUCUUCCCGUUUUAAAAUUUUUCGUUCAUGAGUGAGGCCACUUGUUGUCUUGGCCAACUUUCCCGAACUUUUAUCUUGCGGAGUAUACACUGCCUUACAAUUUCCGCUGUGUCCCUAUCAUACUUAAAGAAACUCUACCUUUCUUUAACUUCAUUAUGGGAUUUCUCCAACUUCCUAUCCUUCCUGCUCUCGCUGCCAAUACUGAAGCGAUGGCCUUCAUUCUGCAGUUGUUGCAUUUUUCCGUUUCGCGCCAGGUUCUGAGUAAUUUCUUUCCACUUCACUUGGCAAGUCACAUACUAAAAAAUUGUCAUCGUCGAAGUCACUGUAAUACUGCAGCCCCAAGUAAUAACUCUCAUUUGCACUUGCUCCGCUUGCAUGCGAGUCCAAUUCCCGAUGUGAGUGAUUAUUUCCCUCUUUACUUUCCGUGUCACUGAUUGUGAUCAACUCGUACUGUCGCUCUCUUUUCGGCACUUAUAGGAUGAUCGUCACUUUCUCUUCUUCGGUGUGGAUUUUGGAUGCACUUGACAUUUCUUUUUCUUUUUGAUAACUUGUUGAGAAUUUUUGGAACACUGUAGAAUUUAGGCGAUUGAAGCACUGGGAAGAGCCUUGGUUUUACAAUUUGCUUAAAUGCUGUUAAGUAUAAAGAGCUUUCUACGGGAUUCUUCUCUUAACAUGACCCAUUUUGUUUUGACUUUCCAUUAUCAAGUUAGGUUAUUGUAUCUUCUCUUUUUCGUUUGUUUGUUUAUGUUUUUUAUUUCUUGUUUUGUUUGGUACUCUCGUUUCGAAUGUGCAACGGCAUAGGUCUUCCCAUACAACGCCAUAUCCGACCACAUAAGUACAACUGGUGUGCUUUCCAGUGGUCCAAAAAAUAUUCUCGGAGGCAAUUGGGGUUUUGGUUGGUUGUCUUGGUCUUGCAGUACGGUUGUCUAGGUAUAUGGUGUUCUCUUUGCGAGUAUUCUCUGGUGUAUGAUGAUCAAACGGCACUCGCCUACCUUGAUGGUGUUCCUCGGUCUGGUAGGGUUUGAAGACUCGUUGAGGAAGUGUAAAGCACAACACUGAAAAAACUACGGGAAGCAACUUGUGCUGGUAGCAAUUGUUGGUCUCGUUGGGACGUCCAAUAGUAAAAGUUUCCUUUUUACCCGUGUAUUACAGUGAGUUGCUGAGACAACUCUGAAAUACAUGUUACAAUCAUGCGA
Molecule: long non-coding RNA, 2439 nt
Organism: Daphnia carinata
Lineage: Eukaryota; Metazoa; Arthropoda; Branchiopoda; Diplostraca; Daphniidae
Exons: 2
Source: RefSeq, a predicted model, not a curated record